AGAUAUACUACAACACGGAUUAGCCUUGAAAACAUUUUGCUAAGCCAGUCAGAAAAAGACAAAUAUAUCAUGAUUCCACUUAUACAUGGCAUACUUAGAGCAAUCAAAAUCAUGGAGACAGAAAGCAGAAUGUCAGUUGUCUUGAGGUGGGCAAUGGAAGAAUGAGAAGUUAUUGUUUAAUAGAUACAGAGUUUCAGUUUUGUGAGAGAAAAUGGUACUGAAGAUGAAUGGUGGUGAUAGUUGCAGAGCAAUAUAAAUGUACUUUACACCACUAAACUAUAGACUUCAAAAUGGUUAAGAUCACAAAUUUAAUGUUAUAUGUAUUUUAUCAUAAUAAAAUUAAAAUUAUACAUAGAUUUAUAUGUAAUAUGAAAAUCCAUAUCUAAUUCAAAAAAUUUAUUGACAAGAAAUGAGAUUUAGGUACAAAGUGGUCAAUGAUGAUUUUAAAAUGUGUAUUAUUGCUGGCAAUUAUUUAAAUUUCUAUUUAUUGAUGGAAUAUAUUUUAAUAUUACAGUAAUUCUAUGUAUGACUUGGCACAUUAUUUCCACAUCACAUUAAUUAAACUAAAAAACUAUACAACUAAUUAUGUUAAUAAAUAACUAUAAAAUUUAAAUAAUAAAAACUGAUGAUAGUUUUGCAUCAAUAAUUUUUACGCCUAAUCUAUUUUUGUUAUUAAUGACCUAGACUAGAGCAUAUUUAUUGCAAUAUUUAGCAUAAGAAAUAAAAACUGAAUUGGUAUAAACUGGAAAUAUGGAAUAAACACAAGUUAUUAGUUGGUAAUGUUAAAAGUACGUUUUAUAUUAUAUAAUAUCCCCGAGAAAUUCAAAUAUCUUAACACAAAAUAUGAGUUAGAAUAGAUUGCCUGAUAUAGUCAAAGCAAAUACUCAAAUGCUCUCCAUGUCCAGUUCCUUAUGUCAUUAUUGAGAAUUGGGGCAUUUCAUUUUACUUGUAUUUUACAGAUUCCCCUUGUAUUUGGCACCAGAGGUAAUUUUCUAUCUCUAUAGUUAGAUAACAAACUUCACUUGCCACUUCUUCUAAAUUGCACUUUUCUGCCUGUCAAAAACAGCUGGGCUGAGUAAAAUAAUACUAGUCAAUUAAAAAAUGCAAUCUAGAAAUGUGAACUAUUUGAUUACACUAAAAUAGAAAAUUUAAAGUAAUCAUUUUGCUAAUCUCAUAUCUUAUUUGAAACAGCUUUUGAUGAAAAGGUUAGCAGAAAUAUCAAAUCUGUGGGUUCUGAAUGGUUGGUUUGCUGGGAAAAUAUACACAGUAUUUUCUAAAUGUGUUGUUAAGUAAACUAUGGCUGAUUCCAAUAAAAUUAUUUUGGUUUCAAGAGGAAUUCUACAUAAAUACUCACAAACUGUGAUAAAUUCCUUUCAACUUCAAACCGAAUUUGAGUUAGUUUACUGUUAGUUAUUUAAAAAAUGUAAACAAAAAUUUCUAAAAUUACUAAAUUUCGAUCCAAAAAUAGAAACAUAAGUAUAAAGUCAGUAAUGUCAUUCAUACAAAUUACAGCUAUAAAGAAUUUCAGCUCCCCUAUUAAAAGAUCACUAUUAAACUGGCCUUUUAAAAGAUCUAAAUAUAUGCUGCUUAUAAAAUACACACCAAAAAGAAAGAUGUAUAUUUUUUAAAGAAAAUAGUAAACAGGCAAAACAAUAAUAAAGCAGAGGUAACAAAAUUAAUCUCAAAAUACAAUUUAAGAAAAAAUCCCCAGAGAGCAAAGAUAGUUAUUUAAUAAGGAUAUAAUUUACAAUAUCCAAUUAAUACAUACUAUUCAUAAAACUGUACAGAUCUGUUUUAUGCUGAUCUCAGCUUGUGCAUAGUAAUGACCUCUGUUAGAAAUGCCUGAGAGCUCUCUUAUCAGGGUCAAGGAUGGUGUCUAGAUUCACAAAUUCACUCUUCACUGAUGAUUUUAAAAUAUAAGAGUAGAAAUUUGAGAUGCAGGAAGAGAAAAAACAAAGUGUCCCAAAUGGUCAGUUAUGGAAAUCAACUGAAAUCUCUAAAAUAAAGCAGCCUCAAGUGGGGAAAUGCAGCUUCGCUCUUUAUCUAGUCCUAAGACUGGCAAUGUGUUUAUCCCAGACAGCCUUCUUUGAAGCUGAUGCUUCUUUGAAAUGGAUGGUUUUUGUAGCAGAUUCCUUGGCAAUCAAAGCUUAAGCCAGGCACUUGCAUUACAAAAAGAAAAACCAAUCCUAAGGACUUAACACUACUAGGUCAAAUAAUGUAACCUCAAAAUACAUUAAGCAAAAGUGUAUGGGUCAAGUAACAGAAUUUGCUGCAGGUUUUGUUUGGUAGGAAGCAGAUUGCGAAAAAAAUUUAAUGUUCAAGAUAUUUAUUAAGGAAGGCCCUUAGAGGGAGGAAAAAGAAGUAAAGUUGAAUAAGGAAGUCAAGUUAGAUUCAAGCCUGACAAUUUCAGCUAAUACUGUCUGGGUUUGGGAAGCCGAAAUGGUCUAUGAGAGUUGUUCCCAUUGAGCUAGAUUCUACACUCUCACCCUGACUAUUCACUAGCUGUCGACUAUUACCUCAGAUCACAUGGGCAAAGCGGCUCUGAACAACUGAGGCAAUUCCUAAAAGGGCCACAGCUAAAGGCCUUCUACUGCCAGCACGCCUUCCAGCUGAAGCAACAAUCCCUUCCUUGAAGGGGAAUCAUAGAUAGCAUAUCUGUGUGUCCUCCAUGGUCCACCUCAUUCAGAUAUGCUUUGCAUAGACAAUCAAGGAACAGUUCUCUAAGAUUCCGUUGAGCCUUUCUUCUUCAAGGAAACUUAGUCAAGGAAAGUUAGUGGGGUGAACUGUAAUCCAUAUGAUGACAACUCAUUUCAGUGACAAAAUGAUACUCAUUUUCUCCCUACUCUAUCAUUCCUUCAACUUCCACUAGCAUCUCUGCUGGCUUAGCUGAUGGUGUGACUCAGGUCCUCAUCCAUGAGGAGUCUGAGACUCUGGCUACCAUGCCAUUCUCAGGCCAGUUGUAUAUUUUCUAUCAAAAUUGAAGAACAGUCCAAAUGGACUGUCUGGGUACAAUCAUACCCCUCCAUUAUUUUCCAGCACUCUUCCUCUCCUGAAUAUUAUAAUAAGUUACACAUGUGAGAAUGGUUCUUCCUCUUCUUACGUGCUGGAUGGAUCAUGGGCAAAAAUGACCCAAAGUGUCCAGACAGUAGCCAUACCUCUAUAACUCAGUGGGACUCCUGGUGUGUCCCAGAUAGAAAUGUUUCUCCUUUGUAAACCAGAACCUCUAAUGCUGGGAGGACAGGCAGAUAAAUUCCUCAAGUGAGUUAUUGGGAUCGAUUAUAAUUAGGGCCACUACAGUUUUCAUUACUUUAUAUAUAGACCUACGUAAUCUUCCUAUUUGGGCUACAUGCUACAUAAAUAUCUUUUAUGAGAAGAUAUUCUACAUUCUGGAUAAUGACUGUCAUUUUAAAGUAUCAAAUCAGAGGUGUUACAACAACUAUGACUUCACAUGUUAUUCCAAUGCUCUAUCAAAAUGGCAGCUUUUAGCUGAUGUGGUAUAUGAUAAGACCAGUGGAUCCCACUGUCGUGGGCCUAAUUCACCAUAUUCUUCACUGUAAAAUGGCUCCUCUGGACAUACUCCAGGGUAUGAGGGAUCCUGUGCCAAUAGAACAAACACUUCAUUAGCCUUCAUAUACUGGUGAUGGCUAAGGAAUUACAUACCAAAAAGGCAAACUUAUACUUGGAAUUUGUAUCUAUUCCUAUCAGAAUAAAUGUCUGGUCUUAGAGGAAACCCCAUAUAUCGACGUAUCACCAAGUGGCACGUCAGUGUCCUCAAAGAGUGAUACCAUUUUAAGAUCUCAAUACUGUUUUCUGUUGAUAGCAGGCUGAAUACUUGGAAUGGCAGUAGCUAAACCACUUGGGUAAGUGAGGGCCCAUGCUGUUGGGUCUGAGUAUCAGCUCCAUAUCUGCCACCCUGUGACCAUUUUUUAAAUGUAUUUAUCCUGCUUUUAGUACUUCAAAUUCUUUCCUGGAAGAAACUUUUAAAAAAUGUUGUCAUUCCAAUACCUGCAUAUAAAUACCUGUGGUUACAUUUAUCUGUGCUAGCAAAGAUAGUACUGCAUCCAAAAAUGGUAACUGCAAUGGAGCCUACCAUGUUGUAGAGUUUGCAGUAGUAUGUAAUCUCUCAAGAUCUCUCUAGUUAGGAGUCGGACUACUAAAUUAAAUGAAGACAUAACAGGAUUUAUCACUGCUGCAUUAUCAUUUCUUUAAAAACAGUCUUAAUUUAUAUAAUACACCCUACAGUGAGAUGUAAUUUUGUUUAUGAAUUACACUCUUAGCUAAAGGUAGAAAAGCUGAUUUCCUAUUUUCCUAUAUGGCCUAGCUUACAAUGGGCCAAGGAAAGAAUAUGAGAAUUAUACCAGUCCUUCCCAAACUUUCCAAAAUAACUGAAGACAAGGAAAAAAUCCUUUUUUUUUUUUUUUUUUUUUUUUGUCUUUUUGCCUUUUCUAGGGCCGCACCAGUGGCAUAUGGAGGUUGUUCCAAGGCUAGGGGUCCAAUCGGAGCGGUAGCUGCUGGCCUACACCACAGCCACAGCAAUGGUGGAUCCAAGCCUUGAUUGCAACCUACACCACGGUUCACGGCAACGCCGGAUCCUUAACCCACUGAGCGAGUUCAGGAACCUCAUGGUUCCUAGUCAGAUUCAUUAAACACUGAGUCACAACAGGAACUCCUUUUUUUUUUUUUUUUUUUGUCUUUUUGCUAUUUCUUGGGCCGCUCCCGCGGCAUAUGGAGGUUCCCAGGCUAGGGGUCGAAUUGGAGCUGUAGCCACCGGCCUACGCCAGAGCCACAGCAACGCAGGAUCCGAGCCGCGUCUGCAACCUACACCACAGCUGACGGCAAUGCCGGAUCAUUAACCCACUGAGCAAGGGCAGGGACCGAACCUGCAACCUCAUGGUUCCUAGUCGGAUUCGUUAACCACUGCGCCACGACGGGAACUCCCAGCAACUCCUUUUUUUAAAAAUUCAUUUUAUGAGGCCAGUGUUGUACUGAUACCCUUUAGACAAAGACACUACAAGAAAAGAAAACUACAGACAAUAUACCUUAUGAAUACUGAUUCAAAAAUUCUUAACAAAAUCCUAGCAUGCCAAAAUCAGUGGCGUAUUAAAAGAUUAUACACCACGACUAAGUGGAAUUUAUUACUGGAAUAUUAAGAUGGUUCAACAUAUGAA
RNAcentral lists this long non-coding RNA (5168 nucleotides) under Sus scrofa (pig). Its description in RNAcentral is "lncRNA (ENSSSCG00060042590.1)". Lineage: Eukaryota; Metazoa; Chordata; Mammalia; Artiodactyla; Suidae. The record is from RNAcentral.